AAAUUGUGGAAUCACGAAGAUUAAGUUCUGAGUGUGAGUUCCACACUUUUGGCUCCAUCAGUUAGUCUCAGAAAGCUCCCACGAAUUUCAGAAUGAGAGCCGUCAACCCUUCCCUUCCAUUUCCUCCUAACCAAACUUUCCCCAGUUUCCUUCCUCCAAACCCUAACCCUAAUUCCCAUAUCCAUGAUUCUUCGCAUUCUGAAUCUCAACAUCCUUCUCUCGACUUGCCUUCUUCCUUUUCCUCCCUCAAUACCCUCAUCCAUCUCGCUAAUCAAACCCUUGAAUCUCUCUCCUACCUCACCCCAUCUGUUUUCGCGAACCAUUCUCGUCUCCUUCACUGCUAUUUUGAUCGGCGCCACCGUGUCCCCCCGCAUUCUCUCUUCCGUCACUCCCUCCUCUGCCCUUCUGCUUCCCUGCAUCCUAUUGACCCCACCCAACUUUUUCAAUCCUUGCUUUACCCCCAAACGCUUCAUUCAUCUCAUCAAUUGGUUAAUGAAAACCGCUUCUCUCAAGUUCUCCCGGAUUCGGAUGCAGACCUUUGCUUUUCUCUCACUGAUUAUACUGAUGCCACUUCCAAUUUCUUCUAUGCUGAUUGCCCUGGCGUCGUUGCAUUGUCUAACCUUGAUGAAAUGUCCAAAGUCUUCACACUUCCCCGUGUUUUGGCCGUUCAUUGUGCUAAUUUUGUCGGUAAUGACCAUUUAGAGAUGAAUAGUACUUUGAAUGGGAUACGAAUACUUCCUUCUGACUUGUGGAUUCUUAGAAGUGAGGUAGAAAUUUGGAAUGACUAUCCCAAUAAGUAUUCGUUUGUUGUGCUUCGGUCCAUAUUGGGCUCAGAGAUGCUUUUGAACAGCCAUUUGAUGACAUGGAUCAUUGAAAAUUCGCCUCGGUAUGGUGUUGUUAUUGAUGUUGCUUUGAGGGAUCAUAUAUUUUUGCUGUUUAGGUUGUGUUUUAUGGCAAUCUAUAAGGAAGCUUUGGGGUUUCAAGUUGCCUUGGAAAAAGGUAACGGAAUGGAGGGUGGAUCAGUGAAUAGCUGUUUUAAGUGUCCGAUUUUGAUUCAAGUAUUGAUGUGGCUAGCAUCGCAGCUUUCCGUGUUGUACGGGGAAACAAACGGGAAAUUCUUUGCUGUUAACAUGCUUAGACAAUGUAUACUAGAUGCUGCAUUGCGGUUGCUUUUACCAUCCGAACAAAAAUCUACGGAGGGUCUGACUUUAGGAAAGGGUUGUCAUGAUCUCGAAAUUAGUUGUAGUGACAUACAGAGUGUGAAGAUGAACGAAUUGGAUCAGAAAGUUGUGAAUAAUGGCAAUGUUACUGGAGGAGAAACGGUCAAUUGUAGGGUGAUUCUUGUGUCCCAAGUUGCUGCAGCUGUUGCAGCAUUGCAUGAGCGUUUCCUACUGGAAGAAAAGAUCAAAGCUUUACGCUUUGCUCAUCUGCAAACAAAAUAUCAGCGGGUUUCUGAGUAUAAUUAUAUCUCUCAAAGAGCUUGUGAAGAGCGCAAGAGACGUUGCAACUAUAGACCUAUAAUUGAGCAUGAUGGACUCCCAAAGCAGCAGUCUUAUAAUGAGGAUGCAAACAAGACCAAAACAAGGGAGGAAUUGUUGGCUGAAGAAAGGGAUUAUAAACGUCGAAGAAUGUCAUACCGUGGAAAGAAGGCAAAGCGAUCAACUUUACAGGUUACGAGAGAUAUUAUUGAGGAAUACAUGGAGGAGAUUAUGAAAGCUGGAGGAAUUGGGUGCUUUGUCAAGGGACCUGAAGAGAGAGGAAUAAAAUCUGAACAACCAAGUGAUCAUAAUAUUACAAGAAAUAUUGUUGCUGACGUGCACACAAGAGGAAGCAACGACCCAUGUGGAGAUGCCAGACAUAGCUCAGGUCAUUCCAAGAAGCAGUCUUUUCAUGAUAGUAGAUACUUGGUUUCUGAUAAGCCACAAAAAGGUCAUUAUGAGCAAUAUGGCUCCCCGGAAGAUGAAAGGAAAAUUUCCCAUAAGGACAAAUAUGAUCGAGAUCACUAUCAUAGGUUCUCAGAUCAAAGCAGUAUUCCUAGCCAGUCACACAAAUGGAAGAGAUAUCCAAAUGAUCGAGAUGAUGAGGUGCCAGCAGAAACCAGGCAUCAUGAAACUAAAAAGCUGGCUUCUAGCAGCUCCCAUGGAAGAUCAUCUUCAUCCUCAAGAUCUGGGAAUGGUUCAAGUGCAAGGAAGGAUAGCCAUAAGUUGAGAGCCAGUGAUAGUUGGAAGAGGAACACGGCUGAUAAUCACAGUUCAGAGCAUUUGGUGUCUAAUUCAUUCAGUGAUAGGUAUACCCCAUCUGAAUGUCAUGACGAAUUGGAAGAUGAGUACUCCACUGUGAGCAGAUUAUCUAAAUCCAGAUGAACAUUAAUUUUAUGAUCAUUGAACGAUGAUAGGGUGUGCUGCAUGCUGUGCUUUACUUUUUAACCUAACAAAUCUCUACCUUGUGCAUGAAGUUUUAUCUGGCUUCAGAAAUUUUAUCCUCACCUGUAUCCUCCAUAGUAUCCUUGAAGUUUAUAUCCCAUUUUCUUAUACAUUGAAUCUUGUCUGAACCUCUAUUCUUUCAUUUAUGUUUCUGAGAGAUUUGCUACGAACUAUGUUGCACUUGCAUUUAUUUGAUUUAAAUCAUCAUCGUAUAAAAGAUGCCAAUUUUACAUCCACUUUUUCUGUUCUAGGGUUGUCUUAUAAUUCUAGAUUAAUUGGCAGAUUAAUGAAGUCGUCAGAAAAAUGAUUCAUUAAUCACAUUUUAUGGAGGGUGCAACCAACUGUUAGUUAUGGUUAUGAAAUUACCAUGUUAUGCGGUUGUUUCUUUUUGUACUCCUUGUUUGCUAUGGUUCACACAAUUUGGUGUUGCAUCACUUGACCUUUACCUCUUCUUUUCGGUUGCAAUUGGAGUUGGUCAUUCAAAAUCUUACUUGGAAAAUUUAAAAAUUGAAAAAAAAAGAUCGUAUAGGUUAGGCAUUAUAAACUGGUUACUCAGGCAAUAUCAUUGAAUAAGCCAAAGUUGUUUCCGGUCUAUUCGUAGUGAGAUGAAAGAUUAAUCUAGCAACUUGAUAAACAUUUUAGGCAAUUACACUGGGUACUAGAACUCAACCUUAUUACUGAUGUUCUAUUAGUUCUAACUUUUGUAUUGUAUUUAGUGUUUUGACCAACAGCCCAGUUUAUCAGUGAAGUAUUGAAGGCAGUCUGUCGAUUAAGUUGAUCCGUGGCCUACAACCCGCAGCAUUUCAGAUUGUCUUUUGCCGGUCGCUUCAUCCUACAUUUAUGCUCAUAGUACGUACUUUUGGAUUUAUGAAGGUAUGAAUUUGGCUUCUUUGUAUGUCUUCUGUCUUUUCCAUUUUGGCUGCCCAUGAGAGUGGGAUAUAAGUAAACAUUGUUGGAAAAGCUGGAAAGAAGUGGUUGGAGAACUAUUUAUUUAUUUACUUAUAGAAGCAUGUUAGGAAGAUGAUUGUUUAAUCAUAUCAUUUUCUGUAUGGUGUGUGUGGUCUUUUAGAACAACAUUGUGUGGAUAUUGCUUGUAUUUCUCCCUAGGAGACAAGCAUGCUGAUGCGUGAAUUAAAAAAGAAGUGAUUUGCAAGGCUUUCUUAUGCAA
RNA transcript from Cucumis melo (muskmelon), 3591 nucleotides. It is a transcript of the gene named U11/U12 small nuclear ribonucleoprotein 48 kDa protein, with no coding region annotated. The record is from RefSeq and is a predicted model, not a curated record. NCBI's taxonomy places the organism in Eukaryota, Viridiplantae, Streptophyta, Magnoliopsida, Cucurbitales, Cucurbitaceae. The transcript is spliced from 5 exons.